Molecule: non-coding RNA, 73 nt
Organism: Pangasius djambal
Lineage: Eukaryota; Metazoa; Chordata; Actinopteri; Siluriformes; Pangasiidae
Source: the annotation of a GenBank genome assembly
GCAGUCUGGGCCUAAUGGUUAGCGAGUCGGACUUGUAACCCGAAGGCCAUGGGUUCAAGUCUCAGGUCCGGCA